Molecule: long non-coding RNA, 1759 nt
Organism: Cyprinodon tularosa
Lineage: Eukaryota; Metazoa; Chordata; Actinopteri; Cyprinodontiformes; Cyprinodontidae
Exons: 3
Source: RefSeq, a predicted model, not a curated record
CAAAGGCAGGUGCAGACCAACUGAAGACGUCUGGAGCAACCACUGAAAAUGGGAACUGUGAGGCAUGUACUACCUGGGAAUGAUGCCAACUGCUGACAAAAGGCUUUACUGCACGUCUUUGAGAGAAGCCUUUAACUCACUGGCUUCAGGACAACUCAGCACAGAGCUGUUUGGCCAGCAGCAGAUAAAUCUGUCAACCCUUUUAGCUUUGUUACCAGACAGAAUUGGGCAGGGAGGAAAGAGGGCAUGGCCCAAAAGCUGCUCUCAAGCUCCAGCCCCUGUUCAAGUGGGGUUGCUGGCUUACACACUGCUCAGCCUUUCCCUCGUUCCCCAGGUAAAAGAAAGAGGUUCGCCAGAUUUCCUCACCUACCUGCAAAUCUAUCUGUCCUUAAGGCUGAGGUAGUAGAUUGAAUAGUUGUGGGGUUAAUGUCCUCCUUUUGAGAGAACUAUACAAUCUACUGUCUUUCCAAAGGAAACAGAAUGAGCUGCUGUCAAAUUGGAGCCUCUUCAGUUAAGGAAUUCAGCAAAAAAAGAAAUAAAUUCUCAAUCCAAAGGCAUCCAUUUAACACCACACAAUAGGAAGUAUAACUAUGUCAUUAACCAGCUGCUAUGCAAAGAAGCUGAUUUACACUAUUUGUAUUGCUUAAGCAAGAACCUGUUUCACAAAUAACAUGAAUAUGUGCUUGAAGUUGAGCCUAGCAAGGUGAGGUAGUAGGUUGUAUAGUUUGUGGGAUGGAUCAAAUCCUACUCAGGUGAUAACUAUACAGUCUCUUACCUUCCUUGACAGGUACAAUGAGUGCUUGGAAUCCCUCUCUUCUGCAAACCCACAAAGUGACAAAGCCUCUUUAAUGCCACCGUGUGGCUAAAAACUCAUGUCUACAUUUGAAAAACUGCAAGUUGUAUCUGGAGAUCUGAAGCUAAAUGCAACACUUUUUAGGUUUAAUAUGUAUAUGUAUAUUGCUGACUUGUUUAUAUUUGAUUCUCUUUAAAAAAUAUAUAUAUAAUUUUGGAAAAUUAUUUUCUUAAAUGCUACUUAUUGGGCAGUCUAAUGUGAAGAAGGGGAUAUGUUUUGUUUGUAUCAUUCAUGAUCUUGGAGAAUACUAAAUAACACAAUGUUACGUUCAUUUUUUUAAACAUAUCAUGUAACUGAAUUAAAUAUUAAAAUAUCACAGCCUAAACUACAAGUAAUUAAGUAUUUUUGUCACUUUAAAUGCUUUGUUUUAAAUGCGGUUUUCAAUUUUAAAACAAAAAUUGGAAACAAUCUAUGAAAAGAGGAUAGAAAAACAUGCUUUUUUGUUUUGAUUCUGUUUGGUGAAUUUCUAUGUUACCUUCAAGGAUGGCCAAUGUCCUCAGUGCUUUUAGUCUGCCUUUAUCAGGACGGGCCUGAGGCAUAAGCAAACUUUAUGGCUGCUUAGAGUUCCAUAUUGGCAAUGGAACCUGAAGAGAACCAAAUUAAAACCUGAAAAGAACCAAAAUAAACAGUGAAAUAUUUCACUACAUGUCCACAUAUUUGAAAGUUAUCAUAAUCAGCAGUUGUGUUGUUACGAUAAUUUUUUAUUUCUGUGAUUGGAUGUCCUCUGGACUCAGUGCAGGAGGUGGGAAACAAAAAGGAUCCUUACAGUAUAUUAACAUCUUUGAUGGAUAAUGCAUGAAGCUGGUGCUGAACUGGAAAGCUCCUUCAGUGACAGACUGCUGCACCCUAAAUGCAUCAGGGAGCAUUAUCACAGAUCCUUCCUCCCAGCAGCUGUAAGACUUUAUA